This 28-nucleotide small RNA is filed under the name Bombyx mori (domestic silkworm). Its description in RNAcentral is "ovarian small RNA-25372". Lineage: Eukaryota; Metazoa; Arthropoda; Insecta; Lepidoptera; Bombycidae. The record is from RNAcentral.
UCACUACGAUUUGCAAUAAGUGGGUGGA